AGCAGUCCAACUGCCUCAGCCUCCCAAAGAUUUGGGAUUACAGGCGUGAGCCAUCAGGCCGAGCAUUCAUACUUACUUUUGAAUAAUGAGUUUCGGAAACUAUAGAGAUUUAGCUACAAAGUUAAUUCUCCCUCAACACUUUACAAAAUAUUGCACCAAUACCUUCAAUUGUUCGUUGUUGAUUAUAAGGAAUCUGUCGUGACACGUACUUCAGAAUUCACAAGGCAACAGGAAAAAAAAAGGUUCAUGAGGGAAGAAAACCAAGUGAAUAACCCAGGAAAGUUGGUGAACUGUGACAUGUGUUGGACUCAUGUGAACCAUGAAUAUGUAUUACAGGGCUAGUAAAUCAAACCCCCAAAAACUUUCUCCACCGAACUUCACCUGUAACCUCUACCAUUUAAAGGAAUUUCCAUUUCUGUGAGGUUCCCAAGAUUUGCUAAACCUACCAGCCUGGUCGUAGGACAUGA
RNAcentral lists this long non-coding RNA (467 nucleotides) under Homo sapiens (human). RNAcentral describes it as "HSALNT0315207". Lineage: Eukaryota; Metazoa; Chordata; Mammalia; Primates; Hominidae. The record is from RNAcentral.